Molecule: transfer RNA, 73 nt
Filed under: bacterium
Lineage: Bacteria
Description: tRNA-Ala
Rfam family: tRNA
About the family: Transfer RNA (tRNA) molecules are approximately 80 nucleotides in length. Their secondary structure includes four short double-helical elements and three loops (D, anti-codon, and T loops).
Source: RNAcentral
GGGGAAUUAGUUUAAUUUUGGUAGAACACCAGAUUUGCAUUCUGGAAGUGUUGGUUCAAGUCCAACCUCUCUG